Molecule: long non-coding RNA, 361 nt
Filed under: Rattus norvegicus (Norway rat)
Lineage: Eukaryota; Metazoa; Chordata; Mammalia; Rodentia; Muridae
Description: long non-coding RNA NONRATT031525
Source: RNAcentral
UAACCUGAGAUUCUGAGUAUUUACCAGGAGAUUGAAGACUUGCUGGUUUUCUAAUUACAACAGGUACUCCGGAAUUGUGUCCCUAGAAGGUGAUACAGCAGCAUUCAGAGAAACUGGACUUAACGUUCAUUAAAGAAGAGCUUGAACCAGAUACAAAAGGCGGAAACCUCAACUCAGUUGCUGAACCCACCAAAUUCACUUUGAGGAUGAAAAGGAGGCUUCCAGGAUCACAAGAGUAUCCUGCUUCUUCUGGAAGCCUUCAGUGACCCAGGACUUGAAACCCUCCCCUUCAAUCCCUUACCAGCUGGGUCUAUUCAGAUACAGCCUGCAGAGGUAAGUUGUAUGUGGUCUCUUGAACUCC